This 75-nucleotide transfer RNA is filed under the name Picochlorum sp. 'soloecismus'. Its description in RNAcentral is "tRNA-Gly". It matches the Rfam family "tRNA". Rfam says of the family: Transfer RNA (tRNA) molecules are approximately 80 nucleotides in length. Their secondary structure includes four short double-helical elements and three loops (D, anti-codon, and T loops). The record is from RNAcentral. Lineage: Eukaryota; Viridiplantae; Chlorophyta; Trebouxiophyceae.
GCGGGUAUAGCUCAGUGGUAGAGCGGCACCUUGCCAAGGUGCAUGUCGCGCGUUCGAAUCGCGUUACCCGCUCCA